AAAACAUAUUACAAUGGGUAUAUUCUUCCCUUAAUUGACUACUGCUGUAUUAUUUGGGGUGAAUGUAAAAAUGAAGGGAAAACAAGAAUUUUAAAACUCCAAAAAAGAGCAGCAAGAUUAAUUCUAGAUGCAGAUCCUUUAUCCCCCUCAGCCCCCUUAUUUAAAAAACUUGGGUGGAUGACAGUUGACAAUAGAAUAAAUUACCACAAAUAUUUACUUCUAUAUAAAUGUAUGCGUAUGGAAGCACCAAUGUACCUAGUUCAAAAGUUUAAACUGAAAUCAGAUAAUAAUCCUUACUCCUUAAGAGGUGUCACUCAAGGUAAUCUGAUAGUUCCUAAGCCAAAAGCUGAACUAUUUAAGAAAUCCUUUGCUUAUUCUGGAUCAGUAUUAUGGAAUGGACUACCACACAAAAUGCGUAAGGCUCAAAACACUUUUACUUUUAAGCAAAGUAUCAAGAAGUACCUAACACAAUCCUGAUAAGAAAUAUUUGCUACAAUCAUGACAAUGCAUUUGUAAUGUAUAUUUUUUUUUUUAUUUUCAUUUGAUUUUUUUGACUACAUGUAUACUUCUUAAACAGCAUUAUAUCUUAUGUUAAUAACAAUACAUUGAACUACAUGACUGUAAAUUAACUAUGUGUAAAUAUAUGUUUUGAUUGUAUUGUAAUUUGUAUGUGAGGGCCUCAGGGAAGAUUAGUUGAUUGUAACUAACUGAGUUUACCCUCUUUAAAUAAAGAAUUUAUUAUUAUUAUUAU
RNAcentral lists this long non-coding RNA (751 nucleotides) under Mytilus galloprovincialis (Mediterranean mussel). The record is from RNAcentral. Lineage: Eukaryota; Metazoa; Mollusca; Bivalvia; Mytilida; Mytilidae.